This is a long non-coding RNA of Helicoverpa zea (corn earworm), 854 nucleotides long. RefSeq lists it as uncharacterized. NCBI's taxonomy places the organism in Eukaryota, Metazoa, Arthropoda, Insecta, Lepidoptera, Noctuidae. The record is from RefSeq and is a predicted model, not a curated record. The transcript has 2 exons.
AAUUUAGUAAACUUAUCAGGCAAGACCACAACCGAUAUUAAGUACUUAAUAGCUAAAGGAAUGUAAAUCUCAGGUUAAAACAAAGAAUGGAACGGAUUCACCGAUGUUAUGAAAUAUGAAUACGUUGUACAAGAUAAAUUCGGUGACACGGUGCCGGAGUCGGCCUCUGUUUCCCCUUUUGAUGACAUCACAUUACCAUGUAGAGGGCUUUCUGAUCAUCACUCUCCCGCCUUCCAAGACUACGAAAACAUAAGCACGUCAAAACAAAAACGGAUGGAUUGUAAAUAUACAUCUUCAAUCACGUUAUACACUAAACAAUGUCCUAAAAUGCUUUAAAACACAGAACAAGUUGUUUCUCGUAAGAAUGGCGAGGUGACCCAUUUACGAAAACAUACGAAUUAUCUACUCACGUUAUAUUACUUUUUAACCACUAUCUGUCGUAUUUAAUGUUUAAUUCCAUAUUCCACGUAUUGUAUAACUAGUUAAGUCGCUAAAACACACGGUAAUAAAUCACAAACUCACGUUAGCUUGAUACGUCGACAACCAGAACAGCGGUAUUUUAGGGAGAGAUCGCUAUGUGGCCUAAUUCAAUGCUUGAGUUCGAUGCACAAAAUACGUGUUACGCGUAUAACUGUAAAUGCAUAAAUAAGUGGAUCCCCGUUGAACUUGCGUUAUUUUAGCUUUGAUAUGCAAUGUAUGUAUUUACUAAGCUCUAAGAAGGAAUUUCUUAAUGAAAUUAAAAACUUUUAACCAAAACCAUUUUGAUAAAAAACCGAACACCUGUAAAGUGUUUUUUUUUUCUUCACUUUGAUUAUUGAAUGUGGCAACAAUAAAUACUUAAUGACGUCAUGAAA